RNAcentral lists this ribosomal RNA (253 nucleotides) under uncultured bacterium. RNAcentral's name for it is "partial 16S ribosomal RNA". It matches the Rfam family "Bacterial small subunit ribosomal RNA", at positions 524 to 776 of the family's 1533-position model. The record is from RNAcentral.
UACGUAGGUGGCAAGCGUUGUCCGGAUUUACUGGGCGUAAAGCGCGCGCAGGCGGUUCGUUAAGUCCGGUGUGAAAGCCCCCGGCUCACCUGGGGGAGGGCAUUGGAGACUGGCGGACUGGAGGCAGGCAGAGGCCGGUGGAAUUCCCGGUGUAGUGGUGAAAUGCGUAGAGAUCGGGAGGAACACCCGUGGCGAAGGCGGCCGGCUGGGCCUGUCCUGACGCUGAGGCGCGAAAGCGUGGGGAGCGAACCGG